UCGAACGUGAAGUUGUUGAUCAAUUCUUCGGAAGAGUGAAACGAUGGAAAGUGGCGGAAGGGUGAGUAAUGCGUGAGUAAUCUGUCUCUAAGUUGGGAAUAACCCGCCGAAAGGCGGGCUAAUGCCGAAUGUGGUGCCUGUUCGCAUGGAUGGGACACUAAAGGCGGGGACCCUUCGGGGCCUGCCGCUUGGAGAGGAGCUCGCGUGCCAUCAGCUUGUUGGUGAGGUAAUGGCUCACCAAGGCUUACGGCUAGCCGGCCUGAGAGGGUGACCGGCCACACUGGGACUGAGACACUGCCCAGACUCCUACGGGAGGCUGCAGUCGAGGAUCAUUGUCAAUGCGCGAAAGCGUGAACAUGCGACGCUGCGUGGAGGAUGAAGGCCUUCGGGUCGUAAACUCCUGUCAUGCGGGAAAAACCGUCCCGUGCCGAAUACGCACGGGACUUGAUGGUACCGCAAGAGGAAGCCACGGCUAACUCUGUGCCAGCAGCCGCGGUAAUACAGAGGUGGCUAGCGUUGUUCGGAUUUACUGGGCGUAAAGCGUGCGUAGGUGGCUUGGUAUGUCGGAUGUGAAAUCCCACCGCCCAACGGUGGAAUUGCAUUCGAAACUGCCGGGCUUGAGUCCAGGAGGGGAGAGCGGAAUUCUUGGUGUAGCGGUGAAAUGUGUUGAUAUCAAGAAGAACACCGGUGGCGAAGGCGGCUCUCUGGAAUGGUACUGACGCUGAGGCACGAAAGCUGGGGGAGCAAACAGGAUUAGAUACCCUGGUAGUCCCAGCUGUAAACGGUGCGCACUUGGUGUUGGCGGUAUUGACCCCGCCAGUGCCGGAGCUAACGCGUUAAGUGCGCCGCCUGGGGAGUACGGCCGCAAGGCUAAAACUCAAAGAAAUUGACGGGGGCCCGCACAGCGGAGGAGCA
Molecule: ribosomal RNA, 915 nt
Filed under: uncultured Verrucomicrobiales bacterium
Lineage: Bacteria; Pseudomonadati; Verrucomicrobiota; Verrucomicrobiia; Verrucomicrobiales
Description: bacterial SSU rRNA
Rfam family: Bacterial small subunit ribosomal RNA
Source: RNAcentral